UCUUAGCAGGCGAUUCUUCCACGGCGCUCGAAGCGCGUCGUGGUAUUUCGCGUAUUGUAAUUUCAACACGAGCGGGGUCAAAUCCUUUGCAGACGACUUAGCUGUGCGAAACGGUCCUGUAAGCAGUAGAGUAGCCUUGUUGUUACGAUCUGCUGAGGGUAAGCCGUCCUUCGCCUCGAUUU
RNAcentral lists this ribosomal RNA (182 nucleotides) under Fusarium oxysporum. Its description in RNAcentral is "partial 28S ribosomal RNA". It matches the Rfam family "Eukaryotic large subunit ribosomal RNA", at positions 3219 to 3399 of the family's 3401-position model. The record is from RNAcentral. Lineage: Eukaryota; Fungi; Ascomycota; Sordariomycetes; Hypocreales; Nectriaceae.